RNAcentral lists this ribosomal RNA (460 nucleotides) under uncultured bacterium. Its description in RNAcentral is "partial 16S ribosomal RNA". It matches the Rfam family "Bacterial small subunit ribosomal RNA", at positions 338 to 795 of the family's 1533-position model. The record is from RNAcentral.
CCUACGGGCGGCAGCAGCGAGGAAUAUUGGUCAAUGGGCGAGAGCCUGAACCAGCUAAGUCGCGUGAAGGAUGACGGCCCUACGGGUUGUAAACUCUUUUUGUCAGGGCGCAAUUGGGCUCACGCGUGGGCUUAGCGAGAGUACCUGAAGUAAAAGUAUCGGCUAACUCCGUGCCAGCAGCCGCGGUAAUACGGAGGAUGCGAGCGUUAUCCGGAUUUAUUGGGGUUACAGGGUGCGUAGGCGGACUAUCAAGUCAGCGGUAAAAAUUCGGGGCUAAAUUCCGUCGUGCCGAUGAGACUGAUGUUCUUGAGUGGGCGAGAGGGAGGCGGAAUGCGAGGUGUAGCAGUGAAAUGCAUAGAUAUGACGCAGAACUCCGAUGGCGAAGGCAGCAUACCGGCGCCCAACUGACGCUGAAGCACGAAAGCGUGGGUAUCAAACAGGAUUAGAUACCCGGGUAGUC